This is a long non-coding RNA of Raphanus sativus (radish), 2470 nucleotides long. RefSeq lists it as uncharacterized. The record is from RefSeq and is a predicted model, not a curated record. Lineage: Eukaryota; Viridiplantae; Streptophyta; Magnoliopsida; Brassicales; Brassicaceae. The transcript is spliced from 5 exons.
ACAAAAUGUAUCGCCUUCAAACGUUUGAGGGUCUCUCUCUCUCCCCGACUUUUCCACUUCUUCUUUUCCAAUUUCUGAUUUUUUUUCUCAGUUACUUUCUCAAUCAAUUAUGAUAUUAAAGAUAUUCCUGAAUGUUUUGUUUCUCCUAUAUAAAAUUAUAUCUCUAAACGUAAAUCAAUCCUUAAUAAAAAACCUACUUUGCAAAAGCUACAUCCAUGACCAUGAAAUACCAUCGGAAAAUCUCAUCUCUCCUCUUACAAAUCUCCAAUGGUCAUUUACUUCUGCUGAAACAGCCUCCAUAGAGAAGAUAAAGCACAAGAGGUUUACCAUAAUUCCCUGAGGACAGAGCCGGAAGCCUGUGUGGUCAAUAUAAUGGAACCGGAGCUGAGCUUGAUCAGGUAAGCUCAGAUGUCUAGGGGUUAGCUGAAGAUAGACAGAAGCCAUCAGCGACGGAAACUGUGCUUAAUGGCGAGAUAGCCAAGACUAAACCUUAAUCGGACUGAGCCAUGGAGAUUAAGGCGGACUCUUCGAGAAGAAGUUAGCAAAGGACGGUGAAAACUGAAUAUACCUUUGUUGUGAAGUUUGACAAUUUUGGACGAAUAGUGAGAUUCUUGGGUUUGGUUUUGAAACAGAGCUUCUCUUGAGUUUGAGAGAAGACACGAGCAACCAUGAACGCGGGAUGGCGAAAACCACCAACCAUUUACAUCGUCAACUUGUGAACUCCGACCAUUUAACGUGGAGAUCAAAGCUAGAGCAGCAACUGCAGCUGUUGAGGCAGUUUAAAACCCAAACAGUCUCAAGGUUUAGUUUAAACCUUUACUUGCAAAACUAACUUUUAACUUUGUGAACCUAUUGAUGUAAAGCAUCUCCAACACAUUGCUAUUUUCACCUCUAUAAUAGCAUUUAGAGAUAAAAAUGCUCCAACCCACCUCUAUUUCUUCCUCUAUAAUAAAGAUCUCUAUUUUUCUCUAUUUAUACGAAGAAAUAGAAUUCCUCUAUUUUUUACUCUACAAAAUAGAGAUUGCUAUUUUAGAAAAAUACAUUGGAGCAUAUCCCACCUCUACUAUAGAAUUCCUCUAUUUUAGAAGUAAAAAUAGCAAAAUACAUUGGAGAUGGUCUAAGGCUCUGGAUUCUUUCAAGUUAUGAAAACUCACAUGAUGCUUAUUGCUUACGCAAGUCAAGGCCACCAACUCCCUGAAGCUAACGGAUCUCACCAGUCAUCAGCUGGGAAAGUUUUAACAACCACUCAGUUCAAACAGUAGGAUCUCUUUCGUGUUAAUCAUACAAGGUAUGUUGCACCUGAGCGUUUUAUAUUUUUAUGAGAAUAAUUGAAUAAAUGGAGUAUGAAAGGAAAUUAACCAAUCCUUAACACUUGAUAAUCAACUCAACUAUCUCCCUCUCUUUUAGUAACCAACUCAACUCACGUUCUUAUAAAACCUCUUCAUCGUUGUUACCUCUCUAAUGUAGAAACUUGAAAACCAAAAAAUAUUUAAAUUUAAAAAAAUUUCUUUGGCUGGUUAUUGUCCUCUUGAUUUCAGCUUCUGACUUUUUCCAUGAAUACAUACUCCAAUGGUAAGUAUACACCUAAACCCUAAUAAAGUUUUCACUUCAAUUUUUGUAUUUUAUGCUUUAAUUUGCUUGUUCUUUGUUUGGUUAUACGGGGUUAGAAGGAUUAAGUACAAUAAUGUUUUGAUUAUGCUAGAUAUAACUCAUGGGAAGAAAGACUCAGUGAAUAGAAAACAAAGAAAUGCUGUUGGGUGGGGUUGAAGACGUGUUCCAGGAAUGUUCACCAAACUGGGAACCGGGAAUCAUUGAUUAAAGAACUCCACUUUAUUAAUAGAAUAUUACCGUGGAAGCGAAGACCCACGAGCUUGCUAUAGAAAGCUAGAAGAAAGUAGAGAGGCAGAGCAAGAGAGAAUUGUGAGGCUGGAGCAAGAACAUGCAGACAUUUCCAGCUAAAAGCUAACGAAGCAAAUCGGAGGCUGAUUGGUGGACUAUUUGUAAAGACGUGGACAGUAUCCAAACUCUAGAUGCAAAGCUGUUUCAUUACUUGAUUUGCUAACGCCACUGUAUGUGCAGGUUGCAGAGUUUAAACACCUCAUCCGUGUUAAGCUAACACCAAAGAAUGAAUACUUGUGCUUCCAAAAGAAUUUGAUACUACAACCGCUUGGUGUUUGUGCAUCAGUAUUGGAAGGAUUCUAGGUCAGCCUUAUACGUUUUCUCCAAUGAAAUUAUGCAUCGGUGCACAAAAUACAUGGGAUCUGGUGGUGUUACAAUCAAGAAGACCACCCAACCUUUGGUCUUUUCUGUGACAAUAUGGUUGUAAAGAGGCUUGGUCACUACCUGAUUGAAUCAGGGCUCUGAAACUUAAGCUGCUGCUAUGUUCAUAUCGGCCAUAUUGUCUUCAUAUUGAGAAGAAAAAUAUUAUGUCAAAAAAAAAAAAAUUGAGAAGAAAAAUAUUUUUUUAAUU